RNAcentral lists this ribosomal RNA (491 nucleotides) under uncultured bacterium. Its description in RNAcentral is "bacterial SSU rRNA". It matches the Rfam family "Bacterial small subunit ribosomal RNA", at positions 10 to 507 of the family's 1533-position model. The record is from RNAcentral.
AGUUUGAUCAUGGCUCAGAACAAACGCUGGCGGCGUGCCUAAUACAUGCAAGUCGAACGGGGAAUAUACCUUCGGGUAUUAGUACUAGUGGCGCACGGGUGAGUAAUACGUAGAUAAUCUUCCUUAAAGUGGGGAAUAACCAGUCGAAAGACUGGCUAAUACCGCAUAAGACCACAGGCUCUGAGGAGCUAGGGGUUAAAGGCUUCGGUCGCUUUAAGAUGAGUCUGCGUCCCAUUAGCUAGUUGGCGGGGUAAAAGCCCACCAAGGCUGUGAUGGGUAGCUGGUCUGAGAGGAUGGCCAGCCACACUGGGACUGAGACACGGCCCAGACUCCUACGGGAGGCAGCAGUAGGGAAUUUUGCACAAUGGACGAAAGUCUGAUGCAGCGACGCCGCGUGAGUGAUGAAGGCCUUCGGUUGUAAGACUCUGUUCUCAGGGAAUAAAAAAAUAGAAGGUACCUAGAGAAGAAAGGAACCGGACGUAACUUACGUG